UAGUGAGUUUGAUCCUGGCUCAGGAUGAACGCUGGCGGUCUGCUUAACACAUGCAAGUCGAACGCAAGUAGAAAUACUUGAGUGGCGGACGGGUGAGUAACGCAUGAGAAUCUGUCCUUCGUGGGUCGGGACAACCACGUAGGAAACGGUGGCUAAGUACCGGAUAUGCCUAGUGGGUUAAAGAUUAAUUGCCAGAAGAAGAGCUCGCGUCUGAUUAGCUAGUUGGAGAGGUAAAGGCUCACCAAGGCAUCGAUCAGUAGCUGGUCUGAGAGGAUGAUCAGCCACACGUGGAACUG
Molecule: ribosomal RNA, 296 nt
Filed under: uncultured bacterium
Lineage: Bacteria
Description: partial 16S ribosomal RNA
Rfam family: Bacterial small subunit ribosomal RNA
Source: RNAcentral